RNAcentral lists this long non-coding RNA (1142 nucleotides) under Setaria viridis. Its description in RNAcentral is "long non-coding RNA (SVIR_LNC008407)". Lineage: Eukaryota; Viridiplantae; Streptophyta; Magnoliopsida; Poales; Poaceae. The record is from RNAcentral.
CAUGGGCAACGGCGGCGGCGCCAACAUGGUCGCGGCUGGCUACACCAAGGGCGACGGCCUCGGCGCUGAGAUCGUCGGCACCUUCAUCCUCGUCUACACCGUCUUCUCCGCCACCGACGCCAAGAGGAACGCCAGGGACUCCCACGUCCCGGUGAGUGUUCAUAUCUAGUAAUCCUUGCUUGAUUGCUUGUUCAUGGGUGUCAAGGAUUCGAGGCUUGACAUGACGCUGGUUUCUUUGUUGGAUGAAACAGAUCCUUGCCCCGCUGCCAAUUGGGUUCGCCGUGUUCCUGGUCCACCUGGCCACCAUCCCCAUCACCGGCACCGGCAUCAACCCGGCGAGGAGCCUUGGCGCCGCCGUCAUCUACAACAGGCGCCAAGCCUGGGAUGACCACGUGAGUUCACUGACUGAGAACUGGUGCAACUUGGUUUAGCUAACUUUCACCUAGAAGUAUAAGAAGAUGAAGAGUAUGAACUGAGUUAAUUCAUACAAAUUCUGAAGUCUCCUUGAUUAGCUGAUGAAAUCUAAUUGCGAUGUCUGCUCUGAAAAACUAAUAAACAGAGAAGUUCACUCUGAUAGCUAGCUGAUGUAAAAUUGGGGAGUAACUCCGGGUAAAAUUAUGUUUAGAUGGAGUAGCCAACUGCUACCACUACUAGAAAUCAUUCAGUAGUUGAUUUCGAAAGGUUCCAAGCACUACAGGAUAAGCUCAUAGACAUUUGUUCUUUGUUUAAUUCUGGAAACCUUCCCUUGUCCGAAGGGAAAAAAACUGAGAGGCCUGCUUUAUUGCAGCAAGCAACCACUACCUACCAGGACAACGACCCUGCAUUAUCCACCCUCGCAUGCUAAGCCUUUCAUUAGCGUGAAAUAAUUCAGAGCGCUGACCAUAAUCAUUCAUUCCUGCCUUUGCAGUGGAUCUUCUGGGUCGGCCCCUUCAUCGGCGCUGCCCUGGCUGCCAUCUACCACCAGGUGGUCAUCAGGGCGAUCCCGUUCAAGAGCAGGUCUUAAGCUGCUGCUGCUGCUGUGUCCUGUGCUGUGAGAUGCCAGUCCAAACAGGCAAGCUGCUUCGGAUGGGGGUGUGUGGUCGCCUCCAAUCCUUGUUACUGUGUUGCUGUGGAGUUGUUCCAUUUCUCUUCAAGUUUGCUGU